Long non-coding RNA from Strongylocentrotus purpuratus (purple sea urchin), 336 nucleotides. RefSeq lists it as uncharacterized. The record is from RefSeq and is a predicted model, not a curated record. The transcript is spliced from 3 exons. NCBI's taxonomy places the organism in Eukaryota, Metazoa, Echinodermata, Echinoidea, Camarodonta, Strongylocentrotidae.
AUGACUGCUUGCCUACCAACCCCUGUCUAAAUGGUGGCACCUGUAUAGAUUUGGUCAACGAGGUCUUUUGUGUAUGCCUGAACGGAUUUUCGGGUACAAAUUGUGAAAUAGACAUCGAUGAAUGUGAUCCAGAUCCGUGUGUGAACGGAGGGUGUGUUCCUACUGUAGGAUUGGCAACCUACACCUGUAUUUGCGAUCAAGGCUUUACGGGACAAAACUGUGAAACUAAUAUAAAUGAAUGCAACUCGGUCCCAUGCCAAAAUGGUGGUACCUGUAUAGACGCUCUUGCAAGCUAUGUGUGUCAAUGUACUACUGGUUUCGACGGGCCGAACUGUG